RNAcentral lists this transfer RNA (75 nucleotides) under Candidatus Woesearchaeota archaeon CG10_big_fil_rev_8_21_14_0_10_37_12. Its description in RNAcentral is "tRNA-Glu". It matches the Rfam family "tRNA". Rfam says of the family: Transfer RNA (tRNA) molecules are approximately 80 nucleotides in length. The record is from RNAcentral. Lineage: Archaea; Nanobdellati; Candidatus Woesearchaeota.
GCCGAAGUAGUAUAGUCCGGUCAAGUAUGCGGCCCUCUCGCGGCUGAAACCCGGGUUCGAAUCCCGGCUUCGGCA